RNAcentral lists this unclassified non-coding RNA (335 nucleotides) under uncultured Basidiomycota. Its description in RNAcentral is "sequence contains 5.8S rRNA gene, ITS2, 28S rRNA gene". The record is from RNAcentral. Lineage: Eukaryota; Fungi; Basidiomycota.
AACGCAUAUUGCGCCCUCCUGGCAAAGGAGGGUAUGCCUGUUUGAGUGUCAUUUUUUAACUCAACUCAGCUUGGCUUGUGGUAGCAUCCUUCUUGCCUUGCUGUUAGUUGGAUUUUGAAGGUGUGCUGGCAGCGUGUCAGCUCCUUUUAAAUAAAUGAGCAGGAGAAUUAUGACGACCCAGCUCCAAUGUGAUAAACUGCUCUGCUUGUUGUCUUUGUUGCUGGAAAGAAAUAUAUUGUACCUGCUGCUAAUUGUCCCAGUGGGACUGCCUGCCAUUUGGCGGCAUACACCUCUCUCUUGACCUCAAAUCAGGUAGGAGUACCCGCUGAACUUAA